RNAcentral lists this long non-coding RNA (292 nucleotides) under Trifolium pratense (red clover). RNAcentral describes it as "long non-coding RNA (TPRA_LNC004979)". The record is from RNAcentral. Lineage: Eukaryota; Viridiplantae; Streptophyta; Magnoliopsida; Fabales; Fabaceae.
CACCUCCAUGAUCUACCAUAGCUUGGAGAAGAAGGAAAAGAAGCUUGGAGAAGAAGGAGAAGAAACCACCCACUACCCAUGAAUUCCUCCACAAGCAAAGCGGUUAUCAAGCAACAAGAGGGAGAUGUUUUGCCUAUAAAUAGGAUCUUCUUCAAGAGAAUAAAGGAACUCUCAUUCUGAGAAACCACCAUUCUUUCAUUAUUGUAAAGUUUAUCAAUUUCUUCUCUAAGGAGAGCUUUGUAUUUCUAUCAUUAUCAAAUAAUACAAACCCCCUUGUUUUUUACCAGAACAU